RNAcentral lists this ribosomal RNA (528 nucleotides) under uncultured bacterium. RNAcentral's name for it is "bacterial SSU rRNA". It matches the Rfam family "Bacterial small subunit ribosomal RNA", at positions 29 to 585 of the family's 1533-position model. The record is from RNAcentral.
AUGAACGCUGGCGGCAGGCCUAACACAUGCAAGUCGAACGGAGUUAUAUUGUAGCUUGCUAUGGUAUAACUUAGUGGCAGACGGGUGAGUAAUGUAUAGGAAUCUACCUAGUAGUACGGAAUAAUUGUUGGAAACGGCAACUAAUACCGUAUACGCCCUACGGGGGAAAAAUUUAUUGCUAUUAGAUGAGCCUAUAUUAGAUUAGCUAGUUGGUGGAGUAAUAGCCUACCAAGGCAAUGAUCUAUAGCUGAUCUGAGAGGAUGAUCAGCCACACUGGAACUGAGAUACGGUCCAGACUCCUACGGGAGGCAGCAGUGGGGAAUAUUGGACAAUGGGCGAAAGCCUGAUCCAGCCAUGCCGCAUGAGUGAAGAAGGCCUUUGGGUUGUAAAGCUCUUUUAGUGAGGAAGAUAAUGACGGUACUCACAGAAGAAGUCCUGGCUAACUCCGUGCCAGCAGCCGCGGUAAUACGGAGAGGGCUAGCGUUAUUCGGAAUUAUUGGGCGUAAAGNNNGCGUAGGCGGAUUANUA